UGCCUGGCGGCCUUAGCGCGGUGGUCCCACCUGACCCCAUGCCGAACUCAGAAGUGAAACGCCGUAGCGCCGAUGGUAGUGUGGGGUCUCCCCAUGCGAGAGUAGGGAACUGCCAGGC
RNAcentral lists this ribosomal RNA (118 nucleotides) under Escherichia coli str. 'clone D i14'. The record is from RNAcentral. RNAcentral also lists the same sequence under 1 other name. Lineage: Bacteria; Pseudomonadati; Pseudomonadota; Gammaproteobacteria; Enterobacterales; Enterobacteriaceae.